This 468-nucleotide ribosomal RNA is filed under the name uncultured bacterium. Its description in RNAcentral is "partial 16S ribosomal RNA". It matches the Rfam family "Bacterial small subunit ribosomal RNA", at positions 28 to 507 of the family's 1533-position model. The record is from RNAcentral.
GACGAACGCUGGCGGCGUGCUUAACACAUGCAAGUCGAACGGAAAGGCCCUGCUUUUGUGGGGUGCUCGAGUGGCGAACGGGUGAGUAACACGUGAGUAACCUGCCCUUGACUUUGGGAUAACUUCAGGAAACUGGGGCUAAUACCGGAUAGGAGCUCCUGCUGCAUGGUGGGGGUUGGAAAGUUUCGGCGGUUGGGGAUGGACUCGCGGCUUAUCAGCUUGUUGGUGGGGUAGUGGCUUACCAAGGCUUUGACGGGUAGCCGGCCUGGGAGGGUGACCGGCCACAUUGGGACUGAGAUACGGCCCAGACUCCUACGGGAGGCAGCAGUGGGGAAUAUUGCACAAUGGGCGGAAGCCUGAUGCAGCAACGCCGCGUGCGGGAUGACGGCAUUCGGGUUGUAAACCGCUUUCGCCUGUGACGAAGCGUGAGUGACGGUAAUGGGUAAAGAAGCACCGGCUAACUACGUG